RNAcentral lists this ribosomal RNA (445 nucleotides) under uncultured bacterium. Its description in RNAcentral is "bacterial SSU rRNA". It matches the Rfam family "Bacterial small subunit ribosomal RNA", at positions 29 to 507 of the family's 1533-position model. The record is from RNAcentral.
AACGAACGCUGGCGGCAGGCCUAACACAUGCAAGUCGAACGAGAAGCUAGGCUUCGGCCUAGUGGAAAGUGGCAGACGGGUGAGGAACACGUGGGAAUCUGCCCAGUGGUACGGAAUAACUUCGGGAAACCGGAGCUAAUGCCGUAUACGCCCUUCGGGGGAAAGAUUUAUCGCCAUUGGAUGAGCCCGCGUCGGAUUAGCUUGUUGGUAGGGUAACGGCCUACCAAGGCGACGAUCCGUAGCUGGUCUGAGAGGAUGAUCAGCCACACUGGGACUGAGACACGGCCCAGACUCCUACGGGAGGCAGCAGUGGGGAAUAUUGCACAAUGGGCGCAAGCCUGAUGCAGCCAUGCCGCGUGAGUGAAGAAGGCCCUAGGGUUGUAAAACUCUUUCACCGGUGAAGAUAAUGACGGUAGCCGGAGAAGAAGCCCCGGCUAACUCCGUG